GUUAAGUCCCGCAACGAGCGCAACCCUCAUCCUUAGUUGCCAUCAUUUAGUUGGGCACUUUAGGAAACUGCCGGUGAUAAGCCGGAGGAAGGUGGGGAUGACGUCAAGUCCUCAUGGCCCUUACAGGCUGGGCUACACACGUGCUACAAUGGCGAUGACAGUGGGCAGCUAUCCCGCAAGGGUGAGCUAAUCUCCAAAAGUCGUCUCAGUUCGGAUUGUUCUCUGCAACUCGAGAGCAUGAAGGCGGAAUCGCUAGUAAUCGCGGAUCAGCAUGCCGCGGUGAAUACGUUCCCAGGCCUU
Molecule: ribosomal RNA, 300 nt
Filed under: uncultured bacterium
Lineage: Bacteria
Description: bacterial SSU rRNA
Rfam family: Bacterial small subunit ribosomal RNA
Source: RNAcentral